Molecule: long non-coding RNA, 641 nt
Organism: Clupea harengus (Atlantic herring)
Lineage: Eukaryota; Metazoa; Chordata; Actinopteri; Clupeiformes; Clupeidae
Source: Ensembl
UCCGGCAUCUGAGAAGGAUGAGAAAGAGGUAGAAUUGCGUUCACAUUCAUAAUUCCGAUUCCAUUCAGUGGAUUUUUGGAGUUGCAUAUUGGACUCAGACUCACUCUGUAUUCUUAACGGCUAAUUCCAAAUCUGGGCCAGACUCAGACAUGGUCCGGGAUCCAAAAUGUCCGGGAUUCCAGGUCUGAGAUCCAUGGUCCAAGAUCCAGGAUGUCUGGGAUCCAAGGUCCAGGAUCAAUGGUCCAUUAUCCAGGAUGUCUGGCAUCCAAGGUCCGAGAUCCAUGAUCUGGGAUCCAUGAUUUUUCAGAUCUGAAAUGUCCGAGACACUGUGGAUAUAAAGGAAAGAAAGUAUCAAAAAGUGGAGGGCUGACGAACUCUUGGGGGACCUGGACGGAGCUAUCUGAAGGACUGACAAAAACACUGAUCUGAAACACACAUGUAGGCCCCAGCAUCAGCGGCAGUAUAUGCGCACCACAGUGCCGUGACGCAGACAAGUAGCAACCAGGAGAUCUAGUUCAAGGCGGCGCCGUGUUCAUGUGGUCACAAGGGGGCGAGGUCUGAACUGCUGUCUCUCAGAACGCACACUUCUUAACACUCAAUUCUCCACACUCUGCUGGUCACCAUGACAACGGGUGAAGCGA